AUACGUAGGGGGCGAGCGUUGUCCGGAAUGAUUGGGCGUAAAGGGCGCGUAGGCGGCGCGGUAAGUCUGGAGUGAAAGUCCUGCUUUCAAGGUGGGAAUUGCUUUGGAUACUGCCGCGCUUGAGUGCAGGAGAGGUUAUCGGAAUUCCCGGUGUAGCGGUGAAAUGCGUAGAGAUCGGGAGGAACACCAGUGGCGAAGGCGGGUAACUGGACUGCAACUGACGCUGAGGCGCGAAAGUGUGGGGAGCAAACAGGAUUAGAUACCCUGGUAGUCCACACUGUAAACGAUGAAUUCUAGGUGUAAGAGGUAUCGACCCCUUUUGUGCCGGAGUCAACACAAUAAGCAUUCCGCCUGGGGAGUACGGCCGCAAGGUUGAAACUCAAAGGAAUUGACGGGG
This 397-nucleotide ribosomal RNA is filed under the name uncultured bacterium. RNAcentral's name for it is "partial 16S ribosomal RNA". It matches the Rfam family "Bacterial small subunit ribosomal RNA", at positions 523 to 918 of the family's 1533-position model. The record is from RNAcentral.